ACUUUACAAUGCUGGCAACAGCGAUAAGGGAACCUCGAGUGCCAGGUUACAAAUCUGGCUGUCGAGAUGCCUAAAAAGCAUUUCAUAGCAAGGGCCGGGCAAGACCGGUGCCAGCCGCCGCGGUAACACCGGCGGCUCGAGUGGUAACCGUUAUUAUUGGGUCUAAAGGGUCUGUAGCCGGCCGGAUAAGUCUCUUGAGAAAUCUGGCAGCUUAACUGUCAGGCUUUCAGGAGAUACUGUCUGGCUCGAGGCCGGGAGAGGUGAGAGGUACUUCAGGGGUAGGGGUGAAAUCUUGUAAUCCUUGAAGGACCACCAGUGGCGAAGGCGUCUCACCAGAACGGACCUGACGGCAAGGGACGAAAGCUAGGGGCACGAACCGGAUUAGAUACCCGGGUAGUCCUAGCCGUAAACGAUACUCGCUAGGUGUCGGCCACGGUGCGACCGUUGUCGGUGCCGUAGGGAAGCCGUGAAGCGAGC
Molecule: ribosomal RNA, 477 nt
Filed under: uncultured archaeon
Lineage: Archaea
Description: bacterial SSU rRNA
Rfam family: Archaeal small subunit ribosomal RNA
Source: RNAcentral